UCCAGACUCCUACGGGAGGCAGCAGUGAGGAAUAUUGGUCAAUGGCCGCAGGGCUGAACCAGCCAAGUCGCGUGAGGGAUGACGGUCCUAUGGAUUGUAAACCUCUUUUGUCAGGGAGCAAAGGGCGCCACGUGUGGCGUUUUGCGAGUACCUGAAGAAAAAGCAUCGGCUAACUCCGUGCCAGCAGCCGCGGUAAUACGGAGGAUGCGAGCGUUAUCCGGAUUUAUUGGGUUUAAAGGGUGCGCAGGCGGAAUGUCAAGUCAGCGGUAAAAUUUCGGGGCUCAACCCCGUCGUGCCGUUGAAACUGGCGUUCUCGAGUGAGCGAGAAGUAUGCGGAAUGCGUGGUGUAGCGGUGAAAUGCAUAGAUAUCACGCAGAACUCCGAUUGCGAAGGCAGCAUACCGGCGCCCAACUGACGCUGAAGCACGAAAGCGUGGGUAUCGAACAGGAUUAGAUACCCCUGUAGUA
RNAcentral lists this ribosomal RNA (467 nucleotides) under uncultured bacterium. RNAcentral describes it as "bacterial SSU rRNA". It matches the Rfam family "Bacterial small subunit ribosomal RNA", at positions 330 to 795 of the family's 1533-position model. The record is from RNAcentral.